UUUUUUUUUUUUUAGUUUUUUUUUUCUUUUUUCUUUUUUUAGCACUCGGUGAAUUUUAUUACAAUUAUAGUUGUACAACAAUCAUCACAACCAAAUUUUAUUGCAUUUCCAUCCCAAACCCCCAGUUCAUCCCCCAACCUGUGUCAUUUAGAAACCAUAGGUUGUUUAAGGUCUGUGAGUCAGUAUCUGCUCUGCAAAGAAGUUCAUUGUCUUUUCUUUUAGAUUCCACAUAUGUGAUAGCAUACAAUGUUGGUGUCUCACUGUCUGACUGAUUUCACUUAGCAUGAUAAUUACUAAGUCCGUCCAUAUUGCUGCAAAUGCCAUUACUUUAUUCCUUUUAAUGGCUGAGUAAUAUUCCACUGUGUAUAUGUACCACUUCUUUAUCCACUCCUCUGUUUUUUUUUUUUUUUUUUUUUUUUUGGGUUGUUUCCAUGUCUUGCCUAUUGUAUAGAGUGCUGCAGUGAAAAUUGGAGUACAUGAGUCUUUUUGAGUCAUGGAUUUCUCUGGAUAGAUGCCCAGGAGUGGGAUUGCUGUGUCAAAUGCUAAUUCUAUUUUUAGUUUUCUGAGGAAUUUCCAUACUGUUUUCCACAGUGGUUGCACCAAUUUAUGUUCCCACCAACAGUGUGAUAGUGUUCCCUUUUCCCCACACUGUCUCCAGAAUUUAUUGUUUGUAGACUUUGAUGAUGGCCAUUCUGGCUGGUGUAAGUUGAUAUCUCAUAGUGGUUUUGAUUUGCAUUUCUCUAAUAAUGAGUGAUGUUGAACAUCUUUUCAUGUGUUUUUUUGGCCAUCUGUAUGUCUUCUUUGGAGAAUUGUCUGUUUAGAUCUUCUGCCCAUUUUUGGGUGGAGUUGUUUGAUUUUUGAUAUUGAGCUGUAGGAGGUGUUUAUAAACUUUGGAUAUUAAUCCCUUGUCAGUCAAUUCAUUUGCAAAUAUUUUCUCCCAUUCUGUGGGUUGUCUUUUCAUUUUGUUUAGGGUUUCCUUUGCUGUGCAGAAGCUUUUAAGUUUGAUUAGGUCCCAUUUGUUUAUUUUUGUUUUUAUUGUCAUUACUCUAAGAAGUGGAUCUAAGAUGUUGCUGUGGUUUAUGUUGGAGAGUGUUUGGCCUGUGCUUUCCUCUAAGAGUUUUAUGGUAUCUGGUCUUAUAUCUAGGUCUUUAAUCCAUUUGGGGUUUAUUUUUGUGUAUGGUGUUAAGGAGUGUUCUAAUUUCAUUCUUUUACAUGUGGCUGUCCAGUUUUCCCAGCACCACUUAUUGAAGGGGCUGUCUUCUCCAUUGUAUAUUCUUGCCUCCUUUGUCAUAGAUUACUUGGCUGUAGAUGUGUGGGUUUAAUUCUGGGCUUUCUAUCUUGUUCCACUGAUCCAUAUUUCUGUCUUUGUGCCAGUACAAUAUGGUUUUGAUGACUGUAGAUUUGUGGUAUUGUCUGAGGCCAGGGAGUCUGAUUCUUCCAGCUCCAUUUUUCUUUCUCAGGAUGGCUUUGACUAUUAUGGGUCUUUUGUGCUUCCAAACAAACUUUAAAAUAUUUUGUUCAAGUUCUGUGGGAAAUGUCCCUGGUAGUUUGAUACUGGUUGCAUUGAAUCUGUCAAUUGCCUUGGGUAGUAUAGUCAUUUUGAUAGUAUUGACUCUUCCAAUCCAAGAGGAUGGUAUGUCUUUCCAUCUGUUUGUGCCAUCUUUUAUUUCUUUCAUCAGUAGCUUAUAGUUUUCAGAGUACAGGUCUUUUGUCUCUUUAAGUAGGUUUACUCCUAGGUAUUUUAUUCUUUUGCAUGUGAUGGUGAACGGGAUUACUUCCUUAAUUUCUCUUUCUGAUCUUUAGCUGUUAUUAUUGAAAUGUAUUCGAUUUAUGUCUAUUAAUUUUGUAUCCUGCCACUUUGCCAAAUUCAUUGAUGAGCUCUAAUAGUUUUCUGGUAGCAUCUUUAAGAUUUUCUAGGUAUAGUGUCAUGUCAUCUUCAAAUAGUGAUAGUUUACUUCUUCCCUUCGAAUUUGAAUUCCUUUUAUUUCUUUUUCUUCUCUGAUUGCCAUGGCUAGGACUUCCAAAACUAUGUUGAAUAGUAGUGGGAGAGCAGACGUCCUUGUCUUCUUUCUGAUCUCAGUGGGAAUUCUUUCAGCUUUUCACCAUUAAGAAUGAUGUUAGCUCUGGGUUUGUCAUAUAUGGCCUUUAUUUUGUUGAGGUGGGUUCCCUCUAUGCCCAUUUUCUGAAGGGUUUUUAUCAGAAAUGGAGGUUGGAUUUUGUCAAAGGCUUUUUCUGCAUCUUUUGAGAGGAUCAUAUGGUUUUCAUUCUUCAGUUUUUUAAUGUGGUGUAUCACACUGAUUUGCAAAUAUUGAAUCCUUGCAUCCCUGGGACAAAUCUCACUUGAUUAGGAUGUACAAUCCUUUCAAUGUGUUGUUGGAUUCAGUGUGCUAGUACUUUGUUGAGGAUUUUUGCAUGUAUAUUCAUCAGUGAGAUUGGCUUGUAAUUUUCUUUUUUGUGAUUCCUUUGUCUGGUUUUGGUAUCAGGGUGAUAGUGGCCUCCUAGAAUGAGUUUGGGAGUGUUUCUUCCUCUGAAAUUUUUUGGAAUAGUUUCAGAAGGAUAGAUGUUAGUGCUUCUCUAAAUGUUUGAUAGAAUUUGCCUGUGCAGCCAUCUGGUCCUGGACUUUUGUUUGUUGAAAUUUUUUAAAAUCACCAUUUCAAUUUCAGUACUUGGGAUUGGUCUGUUCAUCUUUUCUAUUUCAUCUUGGUUUAGUCUUGGAAGAUUGUACUUUUCUAAGGAAAAAUUUGUAUAUUUCUUCUGGAUUUUCCAUUUUAUUGCCAUACAGUUGCAUAUAGAAGUCUCUUAUGAUCCUUUGUAUUUCUGUGAUGCCUAUUGUAACUUCACCUUAUUUCUAAUUUUAUUGAUUUGAUUUCUCUCUCUUUUUUUCUUGAUAAAUAUGGCUAAAGGUUUAUGAAUUUUAUAGACCUUUUCAAAGAACCAAUUUUUGGUUUCAUUGAUCUUUUCUAUGGUUUUCUUCAUUUCUAUUUCAUUGAUUUCUGCUCUGAUAUUUAUGAUUUCUUUCCUUCUGCUAAUUUUAGAUCUUGUCUUUCUUCCCUGUCUAGCUACUUUAAAUAUAAAGUUAAGUUGUUCAUUUGAGCUUUUUCUUUUUUCCUGAGGUAGGCUUGUAUUGCUAUAAACUUUCCUCUUAGAAUUGCUUUUGCUGCAUCCCAUAGGUUUUGGAAUGUUGUGUCUUUGUUGUCAUUUAUUUCUAGGUAUUCCUUAAUUUCCUCUUUGAUUUCUUCAGUGAUCCUUUGGUUGUUUAGUAGCAUGUUGUUUAGUCUUUGCCUA
Molecule: long non-coding RNA, 3285 nt
Filed under: Sus scrofa (pig)
Lineage: Eukaryota; Metazoa; Chordata; Mammalia; Artiodactyla; Suidae
Description: lncRNA (ENSSSCG00035023291.1)
Source: RNAcentral